AGGUCAAGCGGGGCUACCCGC
This 21-nucleotide ribosomal RNA is filed under the name Ficus microcarpa (Chinese banyan). Its description in RNAcentral is "partial 28S ribosomal RNA". Lineage: Eukaryota; Viridiplantae; Streptophyta; Magnoliopsida; Rosales; Moraceae. The record is from RNAcentral.